GUUCUGUGCCCCUCUCUUCAAAAAGGACAUUGAGGUGCUGGAGUCCAGAGAGGAGCAACAGAGCUGAUUUUUUCUUCUGCCACAGUGCUGCCAUAAGCAGGAGUUUGCUGUGAGCCUCUCAACACACCUCUCUCAGCCAGCCUCUUCCCUGGCAGCACUUUAUUUGCUGAAGGUUGGAUACACCUCUGUCUCUCCCUCUUCCCUUCUCUCUGCCCUAUCUUGAGGAUGUUUCUGGCAGAAUAUGUGAGUCUUAUUAUGAAAGAGAGUGGUUAUUAUCCAGUGCAGUAGCUUGGAAAGGACUGGAAUUCACAUUUUAGCAUGGAGGAAGGAGAUUUGCUGCCAUCUGCACCUGGUGAGAGAAAGAGCUCCACAGCUGGAGGCAGCUGCCAAACUUCUGCCAAGCACCCUGCCUGUGAAAUAAAGCAGGCUGCUCAGUUCUGCACCCAGCACAAGUGUUACGUCUACAAAUACAUUAUCAGGCAAAGUGCUUUUA
Long non-coding RNA from Passer domesticus (house sparrow), 493 nucleotides. RefSeq lists it as uncharacterized. The transcript has 3 exons. The record is from RefSeq and is a predicted model, not a curated record. NCBI's taxonomy places the organism in Eukaryota, Metazoa, Chordata, Aves, Passeriformes, Passeridae.